This 292-nucleotide ribosomal RNA is filed under the name uncultured bacterium. RNAcentral describes it as "partial 16S ribosomal RNA". It matches the Rfam family "Bacterial small subunit ribosomal RNA", at positions 505 to 796 of the family's 1533-position model. The record is from RNAcentral.
GUGUCAGCAGCCGCGGUAAAACGUAGGAGGCAAGCGUUAUCCGGAGUUACUGGGCGUAAAGCGCGUGUAGGUGGGUUGGUAAGUUACCUAUAAAAGCUCCUGGCUAAACUAGGAGAGGUUGGGUGAUACUGCCAGUCUUGAAUCGAGGAGAGGUUGACGGAAUUCCGCGUGUAGUGGUGAAAUGCGUAGAGAUGCGGAAGAACACCAGUGGCGAAGGCGGUCAACUGGCCUCAGAUUGACACUCAGACGCGAAAGCAUGGGUAGCGAACGGGAUUAGAAACCCCCGUAGUCC